GGACAGGUGUCCGAGUGGUUUAAGGAUCCGGUCUUGAAAACCGGCGUGCGGUUCUCCGUACCGUGAGUUCGAAUCUCACCCUGUCCGCCA
RNAcentral lists this transfer RNA (90 nucleotides) under Candidatus Megaera polyxenophila. RNAcentral's name for it is "tRNA-Ser". It matches the Rfam family "tRNA". Rfam says of the family: Transfer RNA (tRNA) molecules are approximately 80 nucleotides in length. Their secondary structure includes four short double-helical elements and three loops (D, anti-codon, and T loops). Further hydrogen bonds mediate the characteristic L-shaped molecular structure. tRNAs have two regions of fundamental functional importance: the anti-codon, which is responsible for specific mRNA codon recognition, and the 3' end, to which the tRNAs corresponding amino acid is attached (by aminoacyl-tRNA synthetases). tRNAs cope with the degeneracy of the genetic code in two manners: having more than one tRNA (with a specific anti-codon) for a particular amino acid; and 'wobble' base-pairing, i.e. permitting non-standard base-pairing at the 3rd anti-codon position. RNAcentral also lists the same sequence under 5 other names. Lineage: Bacteria; Pseudomonadati; Pseudomonadota; Alphaproteobacteria; Rickettsiales; Rickettsiaceae. The record is from RNAcentral.